GCCCGUGACAAACUGAUACACUGAUACACACCACAAAAGACAUAACGUUCAGACAAGAGUGCACAAGACAUUACUAUAAACCAAGAGUGCCCGUGACACACUGAUACAAAAGAGUGUCCCGUCACCUGAAAACGAAACUGAUACAAUGAUACACACUGACAAAAAGAGUGUCCCGUGACCGUGCAACUUCAACCUCAAUACUUUGGCAUGCGAUGAACACUCUUCGAUCUCACCUAAAACAUGAAAACAACCAUAGAAUGAGAACAAGUACUAGAUCAAAGCGUUAACAAGAACAAGAAACAGAGAUCAAAGCAUUAACAAGAACAAGAAACAUACAUCUAAGCAUUAACGAGAACAAGAAACAGAGAGCAAAGCAUAAACGAGAACAAGAACCCGAGACAGAUUAAACUUAACAAGCACUACCGGUUUUGGCCGUGGAAAAGUCACACCACUUCUGGUCAUUUCUCAACUCCUUCCAAGCGUGUUCAAGGGUGAACUUUUUCUUAUAGUUGGUGAAGAAUAUUUCGUGGGCAAGUUUGAGAACAUCAUUUUCAUUUUGUCCACUACUUUUCUCUAUGGUUGCUGCCUCGUAUGCUCCACAAAACUUUGACACUAAGUCAUUGAUCCUGUGCCACCUUUGCUUGCAGUGAGAUGACUCUCUUUUUUCAGAGCCAGCAAGCUUAGGACUGGCCGCAAAAUACGCUGCUAUUCUCUUCCAGAAAGCUAUGGACCUUUGCUCAUUCCCGACAAGGGGAUCUUUUCUCAUGUUUAACCACGAGCUGAUGAGGACUAUAUCAUCUGUAGGCGACCAAGUCCUUCGUUCCUUGCGCCCUGAAGAAGUUUCUUGUUGGAAGUUUAUACCUUCGGUAGCUUGAGUGGUAAGAAAAGGAAUCGAAGAAGUAUCUUGUUGACUUUGAAGAAGAUCAACAAAAUUUAUAUUCACAUACGGAUUAGAAUCCAUAUCUUAAAAAGAAAAGGAUAGAAGAGGGAUCCUGUUUCAUAAAUGGAAGAGACCAAGGUCUCUGUUAUAUAGCAGAGAGAAAGAAGAAGGCAUUCAUCUCCAACACACAACCAAUUGGAGUAGACAUUUAUCUAACAAUAACUUCAAUUUAUAACUCAUCCAUCACCUCAAUUUAUUACGACACACAAACAUAUUCUAACCCCUAACCAAAAGAUUAUAACUCAUUCAUCACAAUUCAACCAUAAAGAAAGUAUUUUUUAAAACUCUUUAAUCAAAAUUCAACCAGAAAGGAAGUAUUUUUUAAAACUCGUUCAUCACACUUCACAGUCCAUUUUCAAUUGUAACCUUAACCAAAACAAUGAUACUCAUUCAUGACAAUUCAACCACAAAUAAAGUCUCUUUUUUAAACUCAAUUCAUCGGACUUCACAUUCGCUUUUCUAUCUACCCAUCAGUUCGAUUUAUUGCCAAACACAACCAUAUUUCAACUCUAACCACCACAUUAAUUACCCUACCUUCAUUUCAUCACAGAAGCUUAAUCAAUUCAUUUCAGAGUAGAUGAAAGAGGUACACUAACCUGUUUUGCUGUUGUAGUCCUUUGUUGGAUUAUAUUUUCCUCAAGUCUCUUUCCACUGAACAAAGGGGAUUUGUUCCAUCCAUCUCACAACACAAAGACAAAACAAAACAAAGGAAUCAAUAGACAAAAACAAAUAAAAAAAUGAACAACUUGCAAGAAACAAAUCAAUAUUGAUCGAACACGAGACAAAUCAAUCUAGACACAGAAUCGAACACAACAAACAAUCAAUCUAGACACAGAAGAAGCACAAUCUAAGAAAUACAUCAUUCAGGAACAUUAAACAUAAACAUUACCUUUCGUUUCGAGGAGAGCCACAGUCAGAGAUCUCCGUUGCCAGCGAGGAGAGCCACCGUCAGAGAGCUCCGUCGCCGUCGAGGAGAGCCACCGUCAGAGAGCUCCGUCACCGUCGAGCAGAGCCACCUAUAGACACAAUCGAACCGGCAAACCAAGCAAACUUUCGAUCAGUACAAUAAUAACCAUAAUCUAAAGACAUGCAUGGUUGAAGAACUGAACAAUACUUUUACCUUUCGAUUCGAGGAGACCCACAGAGAGAACCGAUCCGUCGCCGUCGAGGAGACCCACGGAGAGGGAGAGAAUCAGCGGUCGACGAGACGCGGAGAGAGACACGAUCGCCGUUUUCUUCGCCUCUUCGAGAGGUUUCGAGAGAGAGAAAGGAGAAACAGAAAGCCGAACCGAUCCGUCGCCGUCGAGGAGACACACGGAGAGGGAGAGAAUCAUCGGUCGACGACAGCCACCAAGACAGACAGCGCCGUUUCGUCGACGAAACGCGGCGAGAGACACGAUCGCCGUUUCCUUCGCCUCUCGGAGAGGUUUCAAGAGAGAGAAAUGAGAAACAGGAAGCCCAUUCGUUUUC
This 2410-nucleotide long non-coding RNA is filed under the name Brassica napus (rape). Its description in RNAcentral is "long non-coding RNA (BNAP_LNC021406)". The record is from RNAcentral. Lineage: Eukaryota; Viridiplantae; Streptophyta; Magnoliopsida; Brassicales; Brassicaceae.